RNAcentral lists this transfer RNA (83 nucleotides) under Chloroflexota bacterium. RNAcentral's name for it is "Chloroflexi bacterium tRNA-Leu". It matches the Rfam family "tRNA". From Rfam's summary of the family: Transfer RNA (tRNA) molecules are approximately 80 nucleotides in length. Their secondary structure includes four short double-helical elements and three loops (D, anti-codon, and T loops). Further hydrogen bonds mediate the characteristic L-shaped molecular structure. tRNAs have two regions of fundamental functional importance: the anti-codon, which is responsible for specific mRNA codon recognition, and the 3' end, to which the tRNAs corresponding amino acid is attached (by aminoacyl-tRNA synthetases). tRNAs cope with the degeneracy of the genetic code in two manners: having more than one tRNA (with a specific anti-codon) for a particular amino acid; and 'wobble' base-pairing, i.e. permitting non-standard base-pairing at the 3rd anti-codon position. RNAcentral also lists the same sequence under 2 other names. The record is from RNAcentral. Lineage: Bacteria; Bacillati; Chloroflexota.
GGGGAAGUGGCGGAAUUGGUAGACGCGCUUGACUUAGGAUCAAGUGUUCAUAGAACGUGAGAGUUCGAGUCUCUCCUUCCCCA